Molecule: long non-coding RNA, 1212 nt
Organism: Colius striatus (speckled mousebird)
Lineage: Eukaryota; Metazoa; Chordata; Aves; Coliiformes; Coliidae
Exons: 3
Source: RefSeq, a predicted model, not a curated record
UGUUAAAUAUUUCAUUUCUGUCUCAAAUCAUGUGAUGCUGUUUCAGAAGGUUUUCAAACAAGCAGAUGUGUUCAACAACUUGUAUGUGCCAGGCAAGGAGACAAUACUGGAGAAAAACAACCAAAAAAUGCCACUGACACUUAGCAGAUCCCCCCGGCAAUUCAUCAUUGUUUGUAUUGCUGCUUUUAUUACUGUAGGAUGCACCUCCUCUAGAUGUACAUACUCAUGUUGUCUCACUUCAAGACCCAUACAACUGUAUAUUUUUCUCCCAGCUGCUGGGAAUCUGCACGGACACUGGAGUCCUGUAACUUCAGACAUGAUGUCAAAGUGAGCUUUGAGAUUACUUCCUUGAUAGUGUCUGUGCCCCGCAUGAACAGUGGGCCAGGCCACAGAAGCUUGUGGAAGUCUACACCAGUAGCAAAACUGGUGAUUGUUUCCAGCUUUCAGAGGCAGAGAAAAAUUUCAUCUAUUUCGGGAGAUUUGCUGCUGGUGACAGAAUCCACAGCUGAAUUAUGACUCUUGCAAGAUUCUUUUUGAAACCUGUGAAGAAUGCUUUUCAUACUUCAACAUAAUUUCCAUUUUUGAAGCAAACAAUACAUCCUUUCGAGAUGAAGAGGUGAUUCCAAAGAGUUCACAUUGACAAAGAGUUACUUGGAUUUUGUUAUACAAAGGGAUGAAACUGGCUGUAGAGAGGACUGAGGGCAAUUGCGGCCAUUGCCUGGCAAUGCUCAGAAAGAAAAUGCUCAAAGAAAGACAACACACAGUACUUCAGAGCAAAGCUGAGAUUGUGGACAAUACUCUGAAAAUUCCUUGACAGUCAGGGGCUCAGUUUAUCACAAGGAUGAAACAGAAUUAAACCCUUUGAAAGUAUGAACAGCUCCUGCCAUCUGUAUUAGAAAAAUUUGAGGCCAGUGCGUUGUACUCUGGGUUUAAAACCUAGGACUGGUCCAUCAGGUAAUGUAAAUCAACAUAUCCAGAGAAAUCAGAGGAGAAAUCGCCAAAUUAUUGAUGCUGAACACCUCGUCCCAGAUUUGUUUAACUAAAACUAUGAGGAAAAUACAGAUCAGAUCUUGCUGCUACAAAAUCUAGAGCUAACAUAUGUACUGACGUCAGAGGUGCAAAACUUGACCCUAAGUACAUUGCACUGGGAAUCAUUAAACCUUUAAAGAUUUUAAUCAUACACAGUGUUGCCAGGCAGUUUUGCAAAUUAAA